This 1254-nucleotide long non-coding RNA is filed under the name Nicotiana benthamiana. Its description in RNAcentral is "long non-coding RNA (NBEN_LNC022963)". The record is from RNAcentral. Lineage: Eukaryota; Viridiplantae; Streptophyta; Magnoliopsida; Solanales; Solanaceae.
AUAAAAAAAUGUCCGCUAGGUUGAAAAUCUCAAAAGAGGCGGCUUAAGCAAAAGUUAGGACGUAAAAAAAAUAAAAAAUAUACCCAGCCUGAACUACGGUAUGAAUUGAUCCUCUUCACCGAGGUACGUAGGCAGCUUAGAGUUUCAUUCUAAGUUCAGUCGCAUAAUUCAAAAGAUACAUAUUUUCCCAAUUGUUGUCCGAGUGAAGCAUGGAGGAAUGCAAAACAAGUUGAAAUGCUAUCAUUGAUCUCAUUUGAUUUAAAAGCGGAAACCCUCCAUGAUAAAUUGAUAUCUUCACGUCUGUCGGUACUCAAAGUUAAAGUCUUCAAGUUUGUCGGUCUUCAAGUUGAAAUCGUCAAAUUUUCCGAUCUUCAAGUUGAAAUAUUUAGGCCCUCGAAGUCUCAAAGUUGAAGUCUUCAAGUCCACCGGUCUUUAAGUUGAAGUCUUCAAAUUCGCCGAUCUUAAAAUUGAAAUAUUUAAGCCUUCAUGUUGAAGUCUUCAAAGUUCGUCAGUCUUCAAGUUUCAAUCUUCAAAUUCACCGAUCUUAAAGUUGAAUUAUUUAAGCCAUCUGAAUCUUCGAGUUGAAGUCUGCAAAGUCCGUCAAAUAUUCAAAGUUUUCCAAGUGUUCAAGUUGAUGUUGUCUUCAAGUUUAAUCUUUAUAACUUUCCAAUCUUAAAUUGGACAUAUAAGUCGUUUUGCACCUUAAUUUGGCCUCUUCGUGGGUUUGUCCUUAAAAGGAACUAUAAUUUUCCAAUCUUAAGGUGUACAUAGGAGUCUCUUUGCACCUUAAGUUGGCCUCUCUGGUAGUCAGGCCAUUUGAUAGUAAUCUCUCCAAGAAUUUAGCCAUAUUGAGGGUAAUCUCUCCAAGAAUCGGACCACAUUGAGAGUAAUCACUCCGGUAUUCGGACCAUUUUGAGAUUAAUCUCUCCAAGAAUCGGGUCAUUUUGAAAGUAAUUUCUCCAAGAAUUGGGCAACAUUGAGAGUAAUCUCUCCAAGAACCGGGGUAUUUCGAGAGUGAUCUCUCUAAGAAUUGAGCCACGUUGAGAGUAAUCUCUCCAAGAAUCGGUUCAUUUUGAGAGUAACCUCUCCGAUAACUGGGAAAGGAUGAGUACCCAUCCCCUUAUACCCCGAGAUUGUCUUAUUCAUGCGUAAAUCAUCUUGUUGAACAAGAAUAUAUCUCUCUCAUUUGACCUACAAAAAUAUAUAAAAAAAGACAAUAAAGAAGAAAGCACAAGAAAAUAAAAAAGACAUUAC